UUUCCGUAGGUGAACCUGCGGAAGGAUCAUUAGCAUAGUAGUUAGGGGAGGGGGUGGUGUCGGUGCGGCGGUUCGGGGGUGCGUAAGUGCCGCUGUUCUGUCGUGCUGUGCGCCGUCCCUCCUAACCACCACCAUGUGAACGAGGAUGAAUGGUGCGAUGCGUGCAUCGUACAUGAUGUGGGUGCUCUGUGAGCGAGGCGCGCAGACUCUUGGCGUCUCUGCCGUGCUGUUCUGGCGCAUCGCCGCGGGGCAACCGCAUUCCAUAACAUACGUAACGACGAUGCAUCCAAGCGAUGUAUUAUAUAAUUACACACACACACACUAUACCAACAUUUAUACAACUUUUAACAAUGGAUCUCUUGGCUCCU
RNAcentral lists this unclassified non-coding RNA (368 nucleotides) under soil metagenome. RNAcentral's name for it is "partial contains small subunit ribosomal RNA, internal transcribed spacer 1, and 5.8S ribosomal RNA". The record is from RNAcentral.